Molecule: ribosomal RNA, 2612 nt
Filed under: Escherichia coli
Lineage: Bacteria; Pseudomonadati; Pseudomonadota; Gammaproteobacteria; Enterobacterales; Enterobacteriaceae
Also listed under: 1 other name
Description: partial 23S ribosomal RNA
Rfam family: Bacterial large subunit ribosomal RNA
Source: RNAcentral
GUUAAGCGACUAAGCGUACACGGUGGAUGCCCUGGCAGUCAGAGGCGAUGAAGGACGUGCUAAUCUGCGAUAAGCGUCGGUAAGGUGAUAUGAACCGUUAUAACCGGCGAUUUCCGAAUGGGGAAACCCAGUGUGAUUCGUCACACUAUCAUUAACUGAAUCCAUAGGUUAAUGAGGCGAACCGGGGGAACUGAAACAUCUAAGUACCCCGAGGAAAAGAAAUCAACCGAGAUUCCCCCAGUAGCGGCGAGCGAACGGGGAGGAGCCCAGAGCCUGAAUCAGUGUGUGUGUUAGUGGAAGCGUCUGGAAAGGCGCGCGAUACAGGGUGACAGCCCCGUACACAAAAAUGCACAUGCUGUGAGCUCGAUGAGUAGGGCGGGACACGUGGUAUCCUGUCUGAAUAUGGGGGGACCAUCCUCCAAGGCUAAAUACUCCUGACUGACCGAUAGUGAACCAGUACCGUGAGGGAAAGGCGAAAAGAACCCCGGCGAGGGGAGUGAAAAAGAACCUGAAACCGUGUACGUACAAGCAGUGGGAGCACGCUUAGGCGUGUGACUGCGUACCUUUUGUAUAAUGGGUCAGCGACUUAUAUUCUGUAGCAAGGUUAACCGAAUAGGGGAGCCGAAGGGAAACCGAGUCUUAACUGGGCGUUAAGUUGCAGGGUAUAGACCCGAAACCCGGUGAUCUAGCCAUGGGCAGGUUGAAGGUUGGGUAACACUAACUGGAGGACCGAACCGACUAAUGUUGAAAAAUUAGCGGAUGACUUGUGGCUGGGGGUGAAAGGCCAAUCAAACCGGGAGAUAGCUGGUUCUCCCCGAAAGCUAUUUAGGUAGCGCCUCGUGAAUUCAUCUCCGGGGGUAGAGCACUGUUUCGGCAAGGGGGUCAUCCCGACUUACCAACCCGAUGCAAACUGCGAAUACCGGAGAAUGUUAUCACGGGAGACACACGGCGGGUGCUAACGUCCGUCGUGAAGAGGGAAACAACCCAGACCGCCAGCUAAGGUCCCAAAGUCAUGGUUAAGUGGGAAACGAUGUGGGAAGGCCCAGACAGCCAGGAUGUUGGCUUAGAAGCAGCCAUCAUUUAAAGAAAGCGUAAUAGCUCACUGGUCGAGUCGGCCUGCGCGGAAGAUGUAACGGGGCUAAACCAUGCACCGAAGCUGCGGCAGCGACACUGUGUGUUGUUGGGUAGGGGAGCGUUCUGUAAGCCUGCGAAGGUGUGCUGUGAGGCAUGCUGGAGGUAUCAGAAGUGCGAAUGCUGACAUAAGUAACGAUAAAGCGGGUGAAAAGCCCGCUCGCCGGAAGACCAAGGGUUCCUGUCCAACGUUAAUCGGGGCAGGGUGAGUCGACCCCUAAGGCGAGGCCGAAAGGCGUAGUCGAUGGGAAACAGGUUAAUAUUCCUGUACUUGGUGUUACUGCGAAGGGGGGACGGAGAAGGCUAUGUUGGCCGGGCGACGGUUGUCCCGGUUUAAGCGUGUAGGCUGGUUUUCCAGGCAAAUCCGGAAAAUCAAGGCUGAGGCGUGAUGACGAGGCACUACGGUGCUGAAGCAACAAAUGCCCUGCUUCCAGGAAAAGCCUCUAAGCAUCAGGUAACAUCAAAUCGUACCCCAAACCGACACAGGUGGUCAGGUAGAGAAUACCAAGGCGCUUGAGAGAACUCGGGUGAAGGAACUAGGCAAAAUGGUGCCGUAACUUCGGGAGAAGGCACGCUGAUACGUAGGUGAAGUCCCUCGCGGAUGGAGCUGAAAUCAGUCGAAGAUACCAGCUGGCUGCAACUGUUUAUUAAAAACACAGCACUGUGCAAACACGAAAGUGGACGUAUACGGUGUGACGCCUGCCCGGUGCCGGAAGGUUAAUUGAUGGGGUCAGCGCAAGCGAAGCUCUUGAUCGAAGCCCCGGUAAACGGCGGCCGUAACUAUAACGGUCCUAAGGUAGCGAAAUUCCUUGUCGGGUAAGUUCCGACCUGCACGAAUGGCGUAAUGAUGGCCAGGCUGUCUCCACCCGAGACUCAGUGAAAUUGAACUCGCUGUGAAGAUGCAGUGUACCCGCGGCAAGACGGAAAGACCCCGUGAACCUUUACUAUAGCUUGACACUGAACAUUGAGCCUUGAUGUGUAGGAUAGGUGGGAGGCUUUGAAGUGUGGACGCCAGUCUGCAUGGAGCCGACCUUGAAAUACCACCCUUUAAUGUUUGAUGUUCUAACGUUGACCCGUAAUCCGGGUUGCGGACAGUGUCUGGUGGGUAGUUUGACUGGGGCGGUCUCCUCCUAAAGAGUAACGGAGGAGCACGAAGGUUGGCUAAUCCUGGUCGGACAUCAGGAGGUUAGUGCAAUGGCAUAAGCCAGCUUGACUGCGAGCGUGACGGCGCGAGCAGGUGCGAAAGCAGGUCAUAGUGAUCCGGUGGUUCUGAAUGGAAGGGCCAUCGCUCAACGGAUAAAAGGUACUCCGGGGAUAACAGGCUGAUACCGCCCAAGAGUUCAUAUCGACGGCGGUGUUUGGCACCUCGAUGUCGGCUCAUCACAUCCUGGGGCUGAAGUAGGUCCCAAGGGUAUGGCUGUUCGCCAUUUAAAGUGGUACGCGAGCUGGGUUUAGAACGUCGUGAGACAGUUCGGUCCCUA